This 22-nucleotide microRNA is filed under the name Ornithorhynchus anatinus (platypus). RNAcentral's name for it is "Oan-Mir-1421-P26_5p (mature (guide))". Lineage: Eukaryota; Metazoa; Chordata; Mammalia; Monotremata; Ornithorhynchidae. The record is from RNAcentral.
AGGAGGUCGUAUGUCAUGCAGA